GUGAAUCAUCGAAUCUUUGAACGCACAUUGCGCCUGCUGGUAUUCCGGUAGGCAUGCCUGUUUGAGCGUCAGCAAAACCUCUCAGCAAUUAUUUUUAUUGUUGGUUAUGGGCGAGGAGUAAGACCUAACAGUCGCUCCUCCCUUAAACUUGCUGUACGACCGCAAGCUUAUUGCCAGGUUAAUGGAGUGGUGUUUACAAUAUUCCAGCUGCCUGCGAAGCGAACGGCGUUAAACCUGAUGUUGCAUUUUUGCAGCUGAAGUUUGACCUCAAAUCAGACAAGGAUACCCGCUGAACUUAAG
This 300-nucleotide unclassified non-coding RNA is filed under the name uncultured Orbiliales. Its description in RNAcentral is "sequence contains 5.8S rRNA gene, ITS2". The stretch from base 1 to 71 matches the Rfam family "5.8S ribosomal RNA", at positions 84 to 154 of the family's 154-position model. Lineage: Eukaryota; Fungi; Ascomycota; Orbiliomycetes; Orbiliales. The record is from RNAcentral.